Molecule: long non-coding RNA, 393 nt
Filed under: Olea europaea subsp. europaea
Lineage: Eukaryota; Viridiplantae; Streptophyta; Magnoliopsida; Lamiales; Oleaceae
Source: RNAcentral
CCAUUAAAAAGUUAUGGAUUCCACUCUCUCCACAAAUUUCCAUUUUUUGCCUUGAUCUAUUUAAUUGCGACAAGUUUAAUGCAGAAAGCCAAAGGGAAACCAUGCCUCACCACUCAUAUUUUGACCAUUGUUAUGCUUCCCUUUUUUCGGUUUGUUGGAUAAAUGAGCUUUCUUCAUGCUACGUUAGAAUGGGAGAUAAACAGGUAAAAGAGAAAGGAUAAAUGUAAAAUAAAGAAUGCAGUCGAAUCCUAAUUUUUGCGGCUCACAAUCAAUUUCCUAUUUUGAUUUGUUGUACAAAAGAGCUUUCUUUACGCUACAUUAUAAUGGUAGAUAGCAUAUACAGGUGAAAGAACCAGGAUAAAUGUAAAAGAAGGAAUAGUUGAAUUAUAACUU